GCCUACGGGGGGCAGCAGUGGGGAAUAUUGCACAAUGGGGGGAACCCUGAUGCAGCGACGCCGCGUGAGUGAAGAAGUAUUUCGGUAUGUAAAGCUCUGUCAGCAGGGAAGAAGAAAGACGGUACCUGACCAAGAAGCCCCGGCUAACUACGUGCCAGCAGCCGCGGUAAUACGUAUGGUGCAAGCGUUAUCCGGAUUUACUGGGUGUAAAGGGAGCGCAGGCGGCGCGGCAAGCCUGAUGUGAAAGCCCGCGGCCCAACCGCGGGACUGCAUUGGGAACUACCGGGCUGGAGUGCCGGAGAGGG
This 305-nucleotide ribosomal RNA is filed under the name uncultured bacterium. RNAcentral describes it as "bacterial SSU rRNA". It matches the Rfam family "Bacterial small subunit ribosomal RNA", at positions 337 to 658 of the family's 1533-position model. The record is from RNAcentral.